AGCUUUGCGCGGUGGCGAUAUCGUAAGUUAGUUAUUACGAUUCGUAACCAAUGAGAUCCAGCCGAGGUGCGAUUAUUGCUAGUUGAAAACUUUACCAAUACCCCGCCUCUUGGACAUGAAACACUGCCAGCGUAGGCAAUUUUUGAAGGCCCUAACGGGC
Acyrthosiphon pisum (pea aphid) is the source of this 160-nucleotide non-coding RNA. The record is from Rfam. NCBI's taxonomy places the organism in Eukaryota, Metazoa, Arthropoda, Insecta, Hemiptera, Aphididae.